This 32-nucleotide non-coding RNA is filed under the name Homo sapiens (human). Lineage: Eukaryota; Metazoa; Chordata; Mammalia; Primates; Hominidae. The record is from RNAcentral.
UGCCUGAAGAGAAUGCAGAUGAACCCAGCCUC